UUAUUGGGGUUGUAGGACACUCUAUACGGAGUUACAAAGGAAUAUAUUAAACGAAUCAUCUGGAAAGUUGAAUCAAAGAAGGUAAUAAUCCUGUAGUUGAAAAUAUAUUCUCUCUUGAGUGGAUCCUGAGUACGACGGAGCACGUGAAAUUCCGUCGGAAUCUGGGAGGACCAUCUCCUAAGGCUAAAUACUCUCUAGUGACCGAUAGUGAACCAGUACCGUGAGGGAAAGGUGAAAAGUACCCCGGAAGGGGAGUGAAAGAGAACUUGAAACCGUGUGCUUACAAGUAGUCAGAGCCCGUUAAUGGGUGAUGGCGUGCCUUUUGUAGAAUGAACCGGCGAGUUACGAUCUGAUGCAAGGUUAAGCAGAAAAUGUGGAGCCGUAGCGAAAGCGAGUCUGAAUAGGGCGUAUAGUAUUUGGUCGUAGACCCGAAACCAGGUGAUCUACCCAUGGUCAGGUUGAAGUUCAGGUAACACUGAAUGGAGGACCGAACCGACUUACGUUGAAAAGUGAGCGGAUGAACUGUGGGUAGCGGAGAAAUUCCAAUCGAACUUGGAGAUAGCUGGUUCUCUCCGAAAUAGCUUUAGGGCUAGCCUCAAGUGAUGAUUAUUGGAGGUAGAGCACUGUUUGGACGAGGGGCCCCUCUCGGGUUACCGAAUUCAGACAAACUCCGAAUGCCAAUUAAUUUAACUUGGGAGUCAGAACAUGGGUGAUAAGGUCCGUGUUCGAAAGGGAAACAGCCCAGACCACCAGCUAAGGUCCCAAAAUAUAUGUUAAGUGGAAAAGGAUGUGGCGUUGCCCAGACAACUAGGAUGUUGGCUUAGAAGCAGCCAUCAUUUAAAGAGUGCGUAAUAGCUCACUAGUCGAGUGACACUGCGCCGAAAAUGUACCGGGGCUAAACAUAUUACCGAAGCUGUGGAUUGUCCUUUGGACAAUGGUAGGAGAGCGUUCUAAGGGCGUUGAAGCAUGAUCGCAAGGACAUGUGGAGCGCUUAGAAGUGAGAAUGCCGGUGUGAGUAGCGAAAGACGGGUGAGAAUCCCGUCCACCGAUUGACUAAGGUUUCCAGAGGAAGGCUCGUCCGCUCUGGGUUAGUCGGGUCCUAAGCUGAGGCCGACAGGCGUAGGCGAUGGAUAACAGGUUGAUAUUCCUGUACCACCUAUAAUCGUUUUAAUCGAUGGGGGGACGCAGUAGGAUAGGCGAAGCGUACGAUUGGAUUGUACGUCUAAGCAGUGAGAUUGAGUGUUAGGCAAAUCCGGCACUCUUAAGAUUGAGCUGUGAUGGGGAGAGGAAAUUGUUUCCUCGAGUCGUUGAUUUCACACUGCCGAGAAAAGCCUCUAGAUAGAGAUUAGGUGCCCGUACCGCAAACCGA
Molecule: ribosomal RNA, 1369 nt
Filed under: Listeria monocytogenes
Lineage: Bacteria; Bacillati; Bacillota; Bacilli; Caryophanales; Listeriaceae
Description: partial 23S ribosomal RNA
Rfam family: Bacterial large subunit ribosomal RNA
Source: RNAcentral